UACAGAGGGGGCAAGCGUUAAUCGGAAUUACUGGGCGUAAAGCGUGCGCAGGCGGUUUUGUAAGUCUGUCGUGAAAGCCCCGGGCUCAACCUGGGAAUUGCGAUGGAGACUGCAAGGCUUGAAUCUGGCAGAGGGGGGUAGAAUUCCACGUGUAGCAGUGAAAUGCGUAGAGAUGUGGAGGAACACCGAUGGCGAAGGCAGCCCCCUGGGUCAAGAUUGACGCUCAUGCACGAAAGCGUGGGGAGCAAACAGG
Molecule: ribosomal RNA, 253 nt
Filed under: uncultured bacterium
Lineage: Bacteria
Description: partial 16S ribosomal RNA
Rfam family: Bacterial small subunit ribosomal RNA
Source: RNAcentral